AAAAACGCAACCUUCUUCCAUCUUAUUAUUAUCAUAUUCUUCUGUUUUUUACUAACAACGACUUUGAUAAAAAGGCACGUUUCAUGAAGCUUUUAAUCAGAGUAAUUUGAUUUCAACCAGUAGCCAUCAAACCAAAAAAAUAACAAACAAUUUGUAUAUUCAACCUCACCUCACUAUUGCUAUUACUCUUUAGCAAGCACCUACAUUAUAAAUACCUAUCCGAAAAAUUAAUUUUCCUCUCUAUAUUUCUUGUUUCUCAUUUCAAUCUUGUGAAAAACAUUGGUUAGCUAUUUCUAUCAUCUUUUUUUCUUGGAUUUUGUAAUUGCAGAAUAGAGGCAGGACGACAAAAUAAAAGAGAGAUUUUCGAGGCUGUAAACAGCAAACAACGGCGGCUUUGUAUGUUGAAGAGUUGCGAUGGAAGAAAAUUAUAAAGAGGAGAAAUUUGAGGCAAGGAAUGCAAGUCCUGAUAAUUGUAUUUGGAAGAUAAAGAAAACAUAUUGCAUUGGUUGCUUUGGAUUAUUAAUUGUAAGCAUGGGAGGUGGAGUAAUAUUAGGAUGGUGGAAUUCAAAGUUUCAUUCUUCAAACAGUCAACUGUGGUUGGUGCCUUUAGGUCUCAUCUUGCUUAUUACACCAAUUAUAAUUUGUUUUGCUAUUCUCUUGGAUUCUAGUAACUACAGAGAAGUUGAUGAUCAAACAGUCAAAUUGCCAUAAAAUUAUUCUCCACAGCAUGUGGAGAUAUCAUUAUAAUUUACAGCACUUCAAAGUUUGUUGUCGUGAUCAUCAUUGAAUUUUGUGAUAACUUAAAGAAAGUAAGUGACAAGAGGGGUUGCUCUGACGGUAAUUAACCCCACUUUCAACCGAGAGGUUGUGAGUUCGAUUCUCUCCAAGAGCAAGGUGAGAAGUUCUCGGAGAAAAGGAUGUCGGAGGUCUAUUUGGAAACAGCCUCUUUUACCCAAGGGUAGGGGUAAGGUCUGCAUACAUACUAUCCUCCCCAGACCCCACUAAAUUAGAUUAUACUGGGUUGUUGUUGUUAUUAAAGAAAGUAAGUACUACUACUUCUGUUCUUUUAGUUUUUUUUUCUCUUCAUUUUGCAACUUAUAGGCCAUAGAAUUUUGGGAGUUUGUUUUGAACUUGUUAUGCGUCCUUAUUGAUUAUGGUGUGCCAAAAAAGGGAAACAGAUACCUUACAUAUGUGGAAAAGAUUUUGUAUAUAUAAAAAGGAAAUAAAAGUACUAUAUUUCUUGAGUAAUGUAUGUAAUAAGCUCUCCAUUUUAAAAAAAUAAUG
This 1284-nucleotide long non-coding RNA is filed under the name Nicotiana benthamiana. RNAcentral describes it as "long non-coding RNA (NBEN_LNC016269)". Lineage: Eukaryota; Viridiplantae; Streptophyta; Magnoliopsida; Solanales; Solanaceae. The record is from RNAcentral.